Long non-coding RNA from Helianthus annuus (common sunflower), 658 nucleotides. RefSeq lists it as uncharacterized. The record is from RefSeq and is a predicted model, not a curated record. NCBI's taxonomy places the organism in Eukaryota, Viridiplantae, Streptophyta, Magnoliopsida, Asterales, Asteraceae. The transcript is spliced from 3 exons.
UUAUUUUAAGUUAAUAGUGUACUGGUUAUAACUAAUAUCAAAUCUUUACUAAUACUUGAUUUCUUUUUAUGAUGGUUGACUUUGCGAGAACUAACGGAGCAUUAGUGUCAAGAAUGGGCUGAGAUUCGAAUUCAGUCGGUUUUUCGCUCUUUUUUGACAAAAAGGGAUCAAGAUCGGGACCGUCCAUUUGACUUCACACGGAUCACCAUAUGCUUUCUCUCUCAAUGCUCACACAUCUGACAAAAAGGGAUGCCAAAAGCAGGGAAGUACAAUCUACAGGAAAAAGCAACACUUUACUUUUGUGUGAAAGACAGCUUGCUUGUUGCAGUCUCUAUAAUAUAUCAACACUCUUCCAUACACUGUUUGAAAGACAGCACUGCUUCCUUCAGUCUCUAUAAAUAAUCCAGAGAUAUCUACACUCUACUCACACUUUACAAACUCUCAACUACACUCAACUGAAAUUAAUAUAUCAACUCUUUGCAUUCGGAUCUUGCGUUGUUUCUCGGCUCUCACAUCAAGGUUUUAAAAUUUUUGUCGGCUUUUCACAUCUCCCUCUUGCAUUGUUGUAAGUUCUUUCAAAUAUGACAUAGUGAAAGGAUAAAUUGUUUUUGUAGUUUUGAUUUUACUUUGUUCUGUUAUAUUUUGAUCUUUUCCUUCA